RNAcentral lists this ribosomal RNA (253 nucleotides) under uncultured bacterium. RNAcentral describes it as "partial 16S ribosomal RNA". It matches the Rfam family "Bacterial small subunit ribosomal RNA", at positions 524 to 776 of the family's 1533-position model. The record is from RNAcentral.
UACAGAGGUCUCAAGCGUUGUUCGGAUUCAUUGGGCGUAAAGGGUGCGUAGGCGGCGCGGUAAGUCGGAUGUGAAAUCCCGGGGCUCAACCCCGGAACUGCAUUCGAUACUGCCAGGCUGGAGUACUGGAGAGGAGAUUGGAAUUUACGGUGUAGCAGUGAAAUGCGUAGAUAUCGUAAGGAAGACCAGUGGCGAAGGCGGAUCUCUGGACAGUUACUGACACUGAGGCACGAAGGCCAGGGGAGCAAACGGG